Molecule: long non-coding RNA, 422 nt
Filed under: Homo sapiens (human)
Lineage: Eukaryota; Metazoa; Chordata; Mammalia; Primates; Hominidae
Description: non-protein coding lnc-EPG5-1:4
Source: RNAcentral
CUUUUCUUCAAAGGAUGGGUUGGAGCGUUAAAAAAUGUUGGUGGGUUUGGGCUCGCAGGAGGCGGCGCGCGGAGGGCGAGGGCGCUUUUGCUGAGCUGUGCAGUUCGGUCCGCUGAGCCCGGCGGCCCUGCCCGCCCGCUCGUCCGCCCGCGGUCGCUAGUGUUGCCGCCGCCGCCGCCGCCGCCGCCGCUGCUGCUCCAUGGCCGCGCCCGCCCCGCGCCCCCGCCGCGUCCCGUCGCCGCCCGCCCGCGUCCCCGGCACUGGAAGUAGAGCAGCAAUGAAGACAGAUGUAGUCCUGGCAUUCCUCAAGCUUAUAGUCUAAUAGGAACGUCUACACUGAGAAAGAAAAAAAAGAAAAGAAGGAAGAAAAGAAGAAACCCUUCUCUGACACUUCAUAGACAAAAAACAAGAGGAGAUGAUUA